CGAGAGGACCGGGACGGACGAACCUCUGGUGUGCCAGUUGUACCGCCAGGUGCACUGCUGGUUAGCUACGUUCGGCAGGGAUAACCGCUGAAAGCAUCUAAGCGGGAAGCUCGCUUCAAGAUGAGGUGUCUCACCGGGUCAACCGGGUAAGGCCCCCGCCCAGACCAGCGGGUUGAUAGGCCGGAAGUGGAAGCACCGCAAGGUGUGGAGCUGACCGGUACUAACAGGCCGAGGGCUUGACCACACACACCC
This 252-nucleotide ribosomal RNA is filed under the name Blastococcus sp. TF02A-30. RNAcentral describes it as "partial 23S ribosomal RNA". It matches the Rfam family "Bacterial large subunit ribosomal RNA", at positions 2684 to 2925 of the family's 2925-position model. The record is from RNAcentral. Lineage: Bacteria; Bacillati; Actinomycetota; Actinomycetes; Geodermatophilales; Geodermatophilaceae.